AGUGAACGCUGGCGGUAGGCCUAACACAUGCAAGUCGAACGGCAGCACAGUAAGAGCUUGCUCUUACGGGUGGCGAGUGGCGGACGGGUGAGGAAUACAUCGGAAUCUACUUUUUCGUGGGGGAUAACGUAGGGAGACUUACGCUAAUACCGCAUACGACCUACGGGUGAAAGCAGGGGAUCUUCGGACCUUGCGCGAUUGAAUGAGCCGAUGUCGGAUUAGCUAGUUGGCGGGGUAAAGGCCCACCAAGGCGACGAUCCGUAGCUGGUCUGAGAGGAUGAUCAGCCACACUGGAACUGAGACAAGGUCCAGACUCCUACGGGAGGCAGCAGUGGGGAAUAUUGGACAAUGGGCGCAAGCCUGAUCCAGCCAUACCGCGUGGGUGAAGAAGGCCUUCGGGUUGUAAAGCCCUUUUGUUGGGAAAGAAAAGCAGCAGGUUAAUACCCCGCUGUUCUGACGGUACCCAAAGAAUAAGCACCGGCUAACUUCGUG
RNAcentral lists this ribosomal RNA (492 nucleotides) under uncultured bacterium. RNAcentral's name for it is "partial 16S ribosomal RNA". It matches the Rfam family "Bacterial small subunit ribosomal RNA", at positions 29 to 507 of the family's 1533-position model. The record is from RNAcentral.